This is a long non-coding RNA of Homo sapiens (human), 822 nucleotides long. RefSeq lists it as uncharacterized. Lineage: Eukaryota; Metazoa; Chordata; Mammalia; Primates; Hominidae. The record is from RefSeq and is a predicted model, not a curated record. The transcript has 3 exons.
CUGGAGCAGCGCCCACACACUGAGGUGAGCAUCUGACAGCCUGGGGCAGCACCCACACCCCCAGGUGAGCAUCUGGCAACCUGGAACAGCAUCUACAGCCCCAGGUGACCAUCUGACAGCCUGAAGCAGCACCCACACCCCCAGGUGAGCAUGUGACCACAUGGAAUGUCAUCCUCACCUCCAGGUGAGCAUCCGACAGCCUGGAACAGAAUUCUCAAACCCCAGGUGAGGAUCUGACAACCUGGAACAGAACCCCACUCUUCCAAGUGAGAAUCUGACAGCAUAAAACAGCACCCUGCACCCCCAGGUGAGCAUCUGACAGCCUGAAACAGCACCCUCCACCUUCAGGUGAGAAUAUGACAGCCUGAAACAGCACCCCACACCCCAGGCAAAAAUCUGACAGCAUGGAACAAGACCACUGCUCCCAGGUGAACAUCUGAUAGCCUGGAACAGAACCCCAGGCCUCCAAGUAAGCAUCUGAAAGCACGGAACAGCACUCUCACCCCCAGGGGAGCGUCUGACAACCUAGAACAGCACCUUCACCCCGAGGUGGGCAUCUGGCAGCAUAAAACAGCACCCCUACUGGCAGAUGAGCAUAUGACAGCCUGGAACAGCACCCACACCCCCAGGUGAGCAUCUGACAGCCUGGAGCAGCACCCCACACCCCCAGGGGAGCAUCUGACAGUCUGGAACAGCACUCCACACCCCCAGGUGAGCAUCUGACAUCCUGGAACAGCACCCCACGCCCCCAGGUGAGCAUCUGACAGCCUGGAACAGCACCCCACACCCCUAGAUGAGCAUCUGACAGCCUGGAGCAGAACC